Molecule: long non-coding RNA, 893 nt
Organism: Symphalangus syndactylus (siamang)
Lineage: Eukaryota; Metazoa; Chordata; Mammalia; Primates; Hylobatidae
Source: RefSeq, a predicted model, not a curated record
GCGCGCGCAGUCGCGACCAGCCCCGGCCGGAAAGGGCGAGGGAAACCUGGCGGGGGUGUCGAGGCGGGAGUGACUGGGCCGUACAGUACCCCCAAGGACUGGAGGCGAAGCCGGGCCGGGUGAAGGGGCUUCUGACGCUUCGCGGGCCCUGGGUUUUCACUGCGCGUGCGCAAGGUUCUUCCGCUUGCGGGAGACUGGGCCGCUGGCGCCUCUCACUGCCCACUGCUGCGGCCCAGGGCUUGGGCUUGCUUCCCCACGGACCAACAGCCUAGCUGCAAGCCUCUGCUCCUGCCUGCUGGGGCCGGCUGGCUCGCCCUUUCCAUUCCGCUUGCACUCUGAUUCUUGGGGUGUCCCAAGAAGGCCGCGGAUCUCAGUGUUAAGGAGAGACGAGCCGAACACCUGGCACGGUGCUUUCUACCGUUCUCUCCAAUCGUUUUCUGAGUCUGCAUGACUGAGCCUGGCACUGAAGGGAUACUUAUUUUGGGGAAGGAAGAACUCAAAAGUCCAGUUUUUUUCACUGUUGACCCUCAUGUGUCACAUUAGUGGCUUUCAAACUGUUUUGAUCCCAGCCUACGGUGAACAAAAAUAUUUUACAUCAAACUCAAUACCACAUACUUGCUAGAAUGAAUGCAAUGGCCCGAUCUCGGCUCACCGCAACCUCCGCCUCCUGGGUUCAAGCGAUUCUCCUGGGUUCAAGCGAUUCUCCUGGGUUCAAGCGAUUCUCCUGCCUCAGCCUCUCAAGUAGCGGGGAUUGCAGGCAUGCGCCACCAUGCCUGGCUAAUUUUGUAUUUUUAGUACUGACUGGGUUUCUCCAUGUUGGUCAGGCUGGUCUCAAACUCCCCACCUCAGGUGAUCCGCCCGACUCGGCCUCCCAAAGUGUAUUUCUUUCUCUC